This 470-nucleotide long non-coding RNA is filed under the name Brassica napus (rape). RNAcentral's name for it is "long non-coding RNA (BNAP_LNC017642)". Lineage: Eukaryota; Viridiplantae; Streptophyta; Magnoliopsida; Brassicales; Brassicaceae. The record is from RNAcentral.
CUGAAUUAUACUAAUAUUACUUACGAAACAGGAAACAUACAACCGGAUACAAAAAUUAUACAUCCAUAACUUACUUAGAAUAAGAAACCGACUUCAAUAAAUAAAAAAUCCCGAAAACUCAUAAAUUGAAGAAAGAGAAGAACCCCGAAUACAAAAAAACCCAGAUUUCUUCAUCAACACUAUUUCUGUUUCGUCACCUUGGCAGUUUGCUUUAAGAACCCUAACUGAAAAAACCCAGAAAAAGCAAAGCCCUAACUCCAGAACAAGCGAAAAUUGUAGACCCAAAAUCAUAGAUCUGAUUUUAGGUAGAACUAUCUCAAGCAGAGCCGCCAUCUUCGUUUCGUCAUUUUCUCGCCAUUGUUUUAGAUUGAACAACAGUGGUUUGUCACAGAAAUUGGAGAAAGAAGAAGAAAAGUUAUGGUAAAAAGAAGUAGAGAAGUUUUACAGAGAAGGAGAAGAUAUAAGUCGGC